RNAcentral lists this long non-coding RNA (18450 nucleotides) under Podarcis lilfordi (Lilford's wall lizard). The record is from RNAcentral. Lineage: Eukaryota; Metazoa; Chordata; Lepidosauria; Squamata; Lacertidae.
ACAGAGAGUUCAACAUUGCUGGAUUGGCUAGGCAACAGUCACAAUCAAUAGAACAGUGAUAUUCUUCUUGGAUCUUCAAGUGUCCCUGUGCAACAAUAUGUUUCCUGUUGAUACAUGAAUUCAUCUUGUUUCAUUGGUAAGAUGGCAAAAUAGUCGGUAACAAUUUGUGGGUUAGCUGUGGUAGCAACAUACUGUAUUUUUGAACACUGUAGUAGUAGAUAUGGAUACAGUGGUACCUCGGGUUAAGUACUUAAUUCGUUCUGGAGGUCCGUUCUUAACCUAAAACUGUUCUUAACCUGAGGUACCACUUUAGCUAAUGGGGACUCCUAUUGCUGCCACCGUGUGAUUUCUGUUCUCAUCCUGAAGCAAAGUUCUUAACCUGAGGUACUAUUUCUGGGUUAGUGGAGUCUGUAACCUGAAGCGUCUGUAACCUGAAGCAUCUGUAACCUUUGUUUACCUUUGCUGCUUGAUAAUCUGCUUCAGAUAGUUCUGUCCAGAUAAUAACUUCUUGUUGAGCCUUACUGUUGCUCAGCCCAGCACAGAACAACCCAGACUAUUUGGAGCUUUGUAGUGUUGCAGUUUUGUAGCCCACCAGGUCUAUGAGCUAUCAGUAUAAGCAAGCUUGAGCUUGUGCCACCUAAAAUAGUUGAGCUGUGCUCACAUAAACUAUUGGCAAAAGGCUAUUCAUUCCUCAGCAUGCUUGUCUCUGGUCUAAACCUUUGUCUGCAUAAAGGAUGCUCAAAAAUAUCAAAUCAGUGGAGGAAAGGAAUUAGCUAUGAAGCAGUACACUUUAAUGAGAGCGCUCACUACUGUUGAUUAGUAGGCCAAUGUCCCAAAUAAGUAAUCCUCCUUUACUAGCCUUAGAAAUCAAGGCAACAUGCAGAAAAUAAUCUCUCAGUUCUGAAGGGCUAAAUAUGUUGUCUAUAAUUCACAGGCAAUAAUGAAUUCUAAAUCCUAACUUUCCUGAAGGCAACUCUUGCUCUCACCACUAGUCAUCAGUAUCUUCUUGCUAAAAAUAACUCCUCAGCUCAGCUACAGUUUUCCAUAGUUGUGCAUCAUUCUGCCUCCCUUUAAUGUGCUCAUUUAGUUGCGCUAAGUGAUGGCAACUGGGAAGAUUGCAAAGAUGCCCAUUAUAAAAGCAAAACAUCUAUCAGAUGACAUUUCCCCCCCCCUAAGGCAGUCAUUAAACUGGAUUACAACCACAGCAGUUCAGCCUUGGGCUGCUGAAAAGCAAAUUGGACAUUAAUUGCUGCAUUUGAGUGGUUUCUCCUGCACGAUUAUCUAUAAUAAUAUUACCAUAAAGGCCUCGUAAAAGGUGCAAUCCACUGUCUCCCACCUACUAAGAAAAUAAACACUUUGCUCAGCAAGUAGCAUCCAAUUAUAAUGUGCCCAACACUUUAUAUAACCUCGAGGGUGUAAAAAGAAGGCAGUUGGUCUUUGUUGGUGAAGUUCAAGCUCCCUUGUCUGGUGACUUCAAUUUAAACUGACCUACGAAACACUGAAGUAGCCCGAUCUAUCUAAUACGCCCAGACUGUACACAGUUCUCUAGCCAUGCAUUGUCUCUCAGUGCUUUGCUUGAUGUGUUUCCUCUUUUAUAGCCCACCAUGUGAUCAUCUGGUUGGCUGUGAUAUACGGCUGAUGUGUUGCAUACAAUAUGAGGAAUAGAGUAAAAUGGGUGUUGUGUAACAUACUUCAGAGAGUAAUCCUAUAGACCAGCGGUUCUCAACCUGUAGGUCCCCAGAUGUUGUUGGACUACAACUCCCAUCAUCCCUCAGCUCUGGCCUUGCUAGCUAGGGGUGAUGGGAGUUGUAGUUCAACAACAUCUGGGGACCCACAGGUUGAGAAAGGCUGCUCUAGAACAGGUUACUGUACUGUGAAAUUGCCCUAUUAUGUACAAUCUGUAUACCAAGUUUAAACUGCAGUGGCACCUUCAAGCAUAGUACGAACCAGCAUUCCUAAGAGUGCAACAUUCAAACACACACCAGGUGUCCUCUAUAUCUGUUUAUGUGUUCAUAUGUGGAUGUCAAUUUGGAAGCUGAUAGUUAAUGGCAUGUUCAAGCAAGCGCUGCCCUUUCUUACCUUCUUCAAUGUGCCCAGUACUUUCUGUGGUGUUUUCAUUUGAAGCCUCCACUAGUGGCCACUGCCAGAGGCAAUGCAUGAGGUUUAAUGGCCCAAUGGACUGAUCCAGUGCGGGAAUAUUUCUCCUCCUGUGCAGCAUCCUGUGAGAUCUCUCUAUCUCACCAGCUGCUGCUGCAGUACAAAUCAUAUUGUGUAUAAUGGCAUGUCUGCCUUGGGAAUUUAUGGGUAUGCACUGCGGGCAAUGGUGGCGAUGACGACAGAUCAGCCAGAAUGCAUACACGUUUCAAAUUGCUGGAAAUCCCCACUGGGUUGUACUGCAGGAAAAAUGAGAAAGCCUGCUGGCUGCUGCCAGCCCACACACUGGAUAAUCUGUUUCUCUUUGCAAUGAGCAAAGUAAAACAACACUAGGCAAUGAUGAAAAGAGGAAAAGGAGCAGCCUUGAACUAUCACUUCCCUCAAUGUUCCAGAGGAUAGCUCUGUACCAAUGGAAACUAAUCACCAUUGCUUGAAUUCUCAUAUGUUCUGGCAGAACAGCUGAGAAAGAAGGAAGGAGGGAGAUUUUGCGGUGGGCAGAAUUAGGGACGCCAAAGUUUCCUGUCAUUAUGUGACAGUGACAAGCAAUUUAUGAGCUCAGAGUUCAACACGGAAUUAUUACCCCUCCAGAAAUAACACAGACACAUGCAUUUCACUAAUUGCAGUUGUGCCGUGGCAAAUUCAUUUUAUCUGCCAUAACAGGGAAGCAAGCAGAAUUCAUCAGGCUUGCUCAUAGAUAGAAAUGGGAGAGAAAUUAGAUGCAGUUUGCAGUUAAAGGUGAAUCUGUAAAAUUUACACUUUCCAAAACCACAUGAGAACCAAAACACCACCAUCCUUUGAAAUGAACACAUAUCUGAAUUUUGAGAUAUAGCUCCCCAGUGAACCAGUGUCAGCACAAAUGCAUCUGUUAGGGGAAAGUAUGCCAUAAAAAUGAGUAUAUUAGUUGAAAAUAACAUAAAACGUGCAUUAUAGUAGGAGAAAUCACUUGCAAAAAUAUGUACAUUUGUCAAAUGCUGAUGGAUUUUCAUGUUUUUUAAAAAAUAAAAAAGUGCAAAUUGCUGCAGAAAUGUGGAAAACUGAACUUAAGAUAGGAAAAAAUGAGAAACUGAGGGAACCAAAAUGGACAGCUCCUUCCAUCCCUAUUCACUGCACAUUUUCCAGGCAAAAGAUUGCUCAUGUGAGUUAUAUGCUGUAUUCUAUGAAGCUGCAAGGAUAUGUUAUGCAACUGAACUGCUUGCUUUUUUAACAAGAGAGUAGAAGCUGUCUGGUUCUGCAGAUUACAGGUUUGAAAUGGAAGUCAUUCACUUGUGCAAUAUGCUCACACAUAUGCUCAUGAGGAUAUUUUUUUUCCAGGAACAAUCCAAUAACUAAAACAUGAAACCUAUGAUUUCAUUCUUGAGCUAUUGCCAUCUUUAUGCUUCAGCAGAAGCAUAAAGUAGAAGCCUUUGAUGAUGACUGCAGUGUCUAGGCCGAUUCAUGUGUGGAAAGGCAGUAUUUUGGGUCCUGGGGUCCUGUGGCUUCAGAGGUCACAACUAGCACUUUGAAUUGAGCCCAGAAAGUAAUUGGCAGCCAGUGCACAUGGGCUAGAAUCUGUGUAAAAUGCUCAGAUCUUCUGGUCCUAGUUAAUAAUCUGGCAACCUAGAGAUUUCCAGGGCAUAGGCGACUAAAACCAUGUUAUUUCUGUCCAUACAGGGAAACUAAGCAAGGGUCAGUAAUGGAUCCAUAAGUAUUCCCCAAGCAGAGUACCUUUAAGUUGAGUGAAACUUCUUCCAGAACAGAUAGAACAGGAUCCCAUAAAUAUGUUGCUUCGGGGGCACUAUGCUGGGCAACAUAUUCUUUCAGACAAAGCAGCACAUUCUGUGUUAGUAGAUGGGGGUGGGAGUAGGAGGAAGGGGAAACAUUGUUGAUCUUAGUCCCCCUAGUUCCCUUCCCUUAUCAAAAACUUCAACUUCACUUCCUUCAUUUUUAUUGCAACUUCUAGAGUCUGACAGAAGUGCCCUGCCUGUGUUGCUUGAUGACAGGAUUUCAUUAGUCUAUAAUGACAUUUUAGUGCUUGUUUUAAUCAUUUCAAGUGCUAUUGCGUCCUGCUGUGAGAGAUUGUUUUAAAUACCAGAAGGUGCACUGCUGGAGUAAGGGCUUCCCUUUUCACAUACCAAUAUAUGCAAAAAGAAAAAGAAAAGCAGUUGGGUGAUAUUUUGCAUGGUUUAUGAGGAAAUAUUAAAAGCUAUAAGACAAUAUGAAUUGUUUUCAGAUUAAAAGCUGGCAAUGGGUAUUAUUUACAAAACGUUAACAUUACCAAAGCCACAGAAUAUGGGAUAUAAUCAAGGCUUUUCCCCCAGCUGGACUCACCAGAACUCAGUUCUGGUACGUCUCAGGUGGGCGCCAUUGCCAUUCUAAGAGAACAAGGGAGGUGUUAAUAAUGAGUUCUGGCACCUCCUUUUCUAAAAAAUAUAGUACUGGAUAUAAUAUACACCAGAGUCAUCAAACAUUUUGGUCAAGAGGCAUAUUUGGAAUGUGGAAAGAGUGCUGUAGGCUCCAGUUACAAACUGCAUGUCAUGGGGCAUAGCAUAGCACUACAUUGUUGCUGUUGUUAUGUGGGACUGUGGCAUAACACAGUAUGGGCAUUGCACCACUCAAAACAGAAGAGUGUGUGCCCACUUCUAGCAUUUAUUGAGAUAUUUUGUGGGUGUCAUGUUGAUGAACCUAGAAUAACAUGUUCAAAUCAACAUCUUAUCUGUUCUGGAGAAAAUAACAUCAGAAGGGGUGAGCGAGCAGAACCCCAACCCCCAAGCCUCAAAUAUUUUGUCAAUAAAAUAGUGGGGCUUGAGUUUCCUGGGAGAGUCAGGUCUAACAAUAUUAGCAACCCAAAAAGCCCCAAAAGAAGUUACGGGAACUGAAACCUAGAGCAUGAGUCAUUUUCAGAUCAGUUGUAAGAAGAAUUGCACAGCAUCUCCACUUCCUGUAGCAUCAAUUGUAGUUUGCAGCAGCAAUUUUUGCAUGCGCUCUUCCUUCUAUUCUUUCUUGUUCUUUGCCCUGUCCUAACAGGUCAUAACAUAAAACUCACAAGGGCUAAAGAGUGAAGAUGAGCUCAACUAACAGUUGACAAUGAGGCACAAGGUAAAUGUAGUUUAUAAUAGGACAGACAUAUGUCCUGAAUUUCCCAGACGUAGAUAGAAUAUGGCAGUUGGAAACAGUGUGUGGGCAGAAAUCACUGAAAUGUCCAGGAAAAUCCAGACGUAUGGCAACCCAUGUUAGAAGUCUAGAUUUUGGCAAAUUUCCUUUAAAACUAGCUCAAAAAGUCAGUAUUUUAAGAUUUUGCAAAGAAAGCUCAACAACUUUUGCGUCCGGAUUUUCACUUUCUGAAAUACAGCAACCCUGGUUUAUAAGUACAUUAAUUCAAUGAGUAGGAAGAUGCUCAUGAAUCAAAGUUCCCAAGGAAAGUUAGGAAGCAGGCCCAGAGACAGAGGGAGGGUGUUUUGAAUGAUAAAGAACUUCUAAGUAGCAGCCAACUUGGACUAACAAGUUCCAGGCAUGGAAUGAGUCAUUUUUAUCUUCUUACCAGGUCUCCUGCCUAUAUUGGGUUAUUUUCUUUUUAAUUGGUUUUUACCAACGAUUUUCUUGUGUAACAAAUUGUUAUUUGUGUAACAAACAAAUAAACAAAGAAAAGUACAUAUGGUGUCUCCACUUUUAAUUCACAGUCUUUUUCACAGUUCAUUUGCAUUCGGUAUGAGACACUGUUGUCAUAUACAUUAUGCAGUUUUAUGUCUUCCCUGACCAAUGUAAAGAAAUAGCACCUUAGCCUGCAGUCUGGCACUUCAUCAUUCUUCAAUAUUUUCCUGGCAGGACUAGUGGAGCUAUGCCAGAAGACUGUGGAGAUUUGUGUAUAUUGCAUGGCAAUUCUUCAAGAGAUUUCAUGCUUGGUGGCUUUGGAUAUUGGUGGAUCUUCAAUCAGUCUGCACUGAGGGUCCUACCUCCCGAAUCCUAGUUUAACAGUGGCUGUGGGUGUCAUUAAAGGGACACAGGUGGUGCUGUGGCCUAAACCACUGAGCCUCUUGGGUUGCCGAUCAGAAGGUUGGCAGUUUGAAUCCCCGCGACGGAGUGAGCUCCUGUUGCUUGGCCCCAUCUCUUACCAACCUAGCUGUUUGAAAGCACGUCAAAGUGCAAAUAGAUAAAUAAGUACCACUCCGGCGGGAAGGUGAAUGGUGUUUCCGUGCGCUGCUCUGGUUUCACCAGAAGCGGCUUAGUCAUGCUGGCCACAUGACCCGGAAAAAUUGUCUGCGGACAAACGCCGGUUUCCUCGGCCUGUAAAGUGAGAUGAGCGCCGUAACCCCAGAGUCAUUCACAACUGGACUUAACAGUCAGGGGUCCUUUACCUUUACCUUUUUAAGGGUGUCCUUAAGUUUCAAGGCUCAUACCUUAUUUCUCUGUAUAAGACCUCAGCUGAGUCAGAAUCUAAAAAGCAGCUUGAGACUGGAAUUAUAACACUCUUAUCUUUACAUUACGCCUAUGUGGAGUUUGGCUGGAGCUGUUCCAAGUCAGGGGUCAAUCUUUCACUAUAUCCUGAAAAAUAUCCUGAAAAGGGGGCUAUCAAAUAAUCUAAGGUUGGGGAGAAAGUAGUGAUCUUCUUAAAUUUUAUAAUUAUCUGGCCCUUAAUACUCAGGUGAAUCAUGAAUUAUCAUUUCCCCAAGAGAUUCUGCUUGCCCUCAGAAUGUAAAUCAAACUUGUCAGCAUGCCUGUGAAUGUGUAGUUUCGAAGGGUGCUUGUCUGUUCAUAGAGAUUUCAGGUUCCUAGGAAUAUACAUAUCCCAGGACUUUUUGGAGUUGAUAUGCUGGGGAGAGCAUGGUCAGCAAAAACACAGGCAAAAAGAACACUUUGCAUUACUUGGGGUCACUCUGCAAGAGAACAUCAUUAGGCACAAAACCUUGUGUUGGUUCCCCUUUUGUUCUACCCUUACUUGCUACAGCAACCCACACAGGACAUAUGCUCUUUCUCCUGCUGUCUACUCCAUAUGCUAGCUUUGAUUAAUUAAGAUGAUUAAUCUGCAAUCAAAUGAUGCCCCAAUUUAUCACAGUGUUUAUUCAGUUAAAAUGUUCAUUCCCCAAAAUCAUCCUGUAACUCUAACAUCUUCUACCUCAGUUUGCUUGUCGAAUUUGCUUCCAGGGAUCAUGAGUCAUAUCUGGGGAAUGAACAUGACUGGCAUUUUUGAGUCAAAGGGUUACUCCUCUGACCUACUUCCAACAGGAUCAACAGCUGCAGGCUGACUAUGGAAUGCACAGAUAAAACACUGCUAGACAGUUAUAUGCAGGUAAGAUGUUUGGUUCCAGGUUUUCCCUCCUUAAAAAUAGUAACAACAACUCUCAACUGUGCCUCUACAAAUGCUAAGAUGAGCAAACAUGCAACGUACUUGCACAUCAAAGAGAUAUAAAGAGGCAAAUUUUGAUCAGUGCAGAUCUUUUUUUCAUUAGCAGAUGAGGGGAAAAAAUAAUCAGUUGAAUUGUAUAUCUGAAAUUGAAAGAGAAACUGAAAAAGAAUCCUGCAUUGAAAAGCCACUUCUCAAACCCCUGUCCACCACAAUAAUUUCACUGACUCAUUUAAGCAACAAUAGCAACACGUUCCAUCUACAACAAUGCCAUACAAAGAAAUGCAAUUUUAUUUUUAUGCUGUUGAACAGCCAGUAACCUUCUAAGACUAUAUUGUAAAUUUCUAACAAUAAAGUUUCCAGCUAUAAAGGAGGAAAUUAUUUUGGAUUGUUUUGAUAUGUGCAAAGGCUACUUUUUAUGUACAUAUUUUAUUUGCAUUAAACAUUGACCACUCUAAUCAUGUUACACAUCUGCUAAGAUGAAGUCUGGACCAGUAAAAGUUGCUGUCUGAGACAGAACAGAAAAUGCCCCCUCCACAUCAAAUUCCCUGUUACUAAGACCAGUCAACUUAUUUUGACACCCGAUAAAGAAAAUCUCUUGUCUCUACCACUUCCUGGCAGUAAAAAUUUAAUAAUCAUAAAUUGUUCCCUUUCAUGACACCCAAAAUCAGCUGUCCAAGGCAGCCACCUCCACUCUACUUAAUUGUUAGGCCAUCUGUAGCUAAGACUUCCCUUUCCUCUUUAUUAUCUUAUUUACUUGCUACAGGUUAGUGAACAAUAGAAAAACACAUCUCCCUUAGCAACCUAGUAUUUGAUUUAGUGGUUGCAGCUUUCAGAAACAAUUUAACAUGUCGAUUUAUCCUGCAUCCCCCUUUACAUUCAGUCCAAAUCCAUAAUAAUUCCUCAGACCUGAGGGUACAUCUUUGGAUUGUCAUUGAGAUGACAGAGCAAAUUUAUAAGAGCAAAAUGCGGUAGGAAUCAUGGCAUCUAUUUAUAGCCAAGUCCCCCAAUAUCUCUCCCAUAGAUAAACAUUUCUACUUAUAAAAACCCUUCCAAAUAUAUUUGGUUCAUGGACAAAUAUAUUUGGUUCAUAUCUGGGCAUUUUGCAGCAUCUGCAUUGAUGGCCUAGGAGACCAGGCUCCGAAAUGAGUCUAGUAAUUUUGUCCCAGAAUAACUGGUGACAGGCUUCAGGGGACUUGAGCUCGACUAACAGUGAAAUCUUAAUAUCCUAUACAUGUCUGCUUAUAAAUAAGUUCUAUUGUGCUCAGUGCGAUUGGAGUGCACUGGAUUGUAGCCAAUAUUAAUGCUCUAGCUUAAAGGUAAAGGGCGCUGCGAUACAAUGUACUCUGUCUUUCUAAUUAAUAGUAGUGGUCUCCAAGGCUGGGGUCAUGGGUAGCUGUGCCAAAAUCUUGGUUUACAACACUUCAGAACCUGGAGCAUGGAGAGAAAGUUUUUAUACUAGGCCUGGCCGGAAUUUUAAUACUAUCUGCAAUUAUAGAAACUUAGGCAGAACAACUCUGUUAUCUUCUGAAAAGGCUCCAAAGGCUGAGCACAUGCAUUUUAUGGGUGCUCACCAGCCUCAGCCCUGGAGCCAUUCACAAUAUCAUUCAAACCUAUUAGUAAAAUAACCCUUCCAUAACAGUCCUGGACUACUGCAAUUUGCUAUAUGGGGGGCUGCCCUUGAAGACUGCCGCCAGAAAUGUGGAUGCUGGAUUAGUAAGUGGGGCAGCCCAAUGGGACCUUGUUUUGCUGGUCUUUAAAGCACUGCACUGGCUGCCAGUGAGCUACUAGGCCUAAUUCAAGGUGGUAGUAUUACCAUAUAAAACACCCAAUGGCUUAUGACACAAAUACAUCAAAUUAGGACCUUCCUCUGUAUCAACCAUCUUGAACCCUAAAAUAAUCAGGCGAGACCUUUUUGGUGCCCCUACCAAUAACUGACCCAUGACAGGACCUUUUCAAUGGUGCUUCCCUGUUUGUGGAAUUCCCUCAUUAUUGACUUUCAGGAGAAGGUAAGAACAUUACUGUUUAACCAGGCAUUUGAUGGCCGAAAGAUGCUGUUCUUGGCAACCGUGAAAGAAUGUUUCAAACUAUUUCUAGAAUGUUUUGAAUUGUUGUUGUUGUCGUCGUUGCAUUUGCUACCCUGGGCUCCUUCAGGAUGAACGGCGGAUAUAAACUGAAUCAAUAAAUACAUAAUAUUCUAUACCUUAACUACUGUUCCUCCAUUAAAAUAGAAUUUCCUCUUCUGUCCACAUUUUUAUCUGUGAUCCAAGUACAUCUGCUCCCUCAACUUGGCAGCAGGAAACCAUUCCCAACAGAGGGUGAAAAAGUGCUUAUUCUAGACACACCUUCAUCGACAGUAAAGGGCACUUUUUGCAGACAGCCUGUGAGUAGGGAAUUUUAGAGGCUGCCAGUUUGACGUUUAGGGAAAAUAAAAACACCAGUUUAAUAAAAUGCUCCAACAGUGCAGGCAAACAGUAUGGAAUAUUACAUUUGUCCUCCUCGAGGGGAAAAAAAGCCCAACAGAAAACUCAGUAGCAUCAAGGUUUCAGGGUUGCAGAAAGUUUGUUGAGAAAGAAGAGCUAUGCUGGUCUGAAAUGCUAUCAAAGAAAAAGUGAGCAUCACCUCAGAAAAUAGUGUCCAGGUAGGAAUGAUUUUUAAUGGUUUUCUAACGGGGCCCAGCUGGUUCAUUCUCAGCUUUGCAACAAAAUACUUGUGUGGAUCUGCACAGCUGAUUUAAUCUUGCCACACUUUGGUUUUACUGUUAUAAAUUGAUAAUCACACCAGAGCCCAAAUUACAGAGGAAAGAAGAAGAAGAAAAUAGUUUUGGGGAACAUGAGUAAAAUGUUUUUCGCCCAGUGCUGAAAAUAUAUUAAUGAAGUUAGUAGUACCAGGUGAGCCUCCCUGAGGCGAGAAUUCCAAUAAGUGACUAAGGAUACUUAAGGAACUUGAUCAUGGUGAAUUCUGGUACAAACUAAGGCGCCAUGUGCACUAUAUAUUUAAAGCAGUAUCGUAUCACUGUAAACAGUCAUGGCUUCCCCUAAAGAAUUCUGGGAACUGUAGUUUUUAAGGGUGUUGAGAGUUGUCAGCAUGACUGUAUUACCCUGAGAGAGCUACAAUCUUCAGAAUCCCCUGGGAAGCAGGUUUGAUUGUCAAACCAUUCUGGAAAUUGUAGCUCUGUGAUGAGAAUAGGGGGUCUCCAUGCUCCCAGUUGCUAUUGUAACUAAGUUAAAGUACUUGGAAAUUAAGUAAUCACUCAUUCUUCUCCUGUCUACCCAUGCCUCCAAGUCUCUCCUAUGUCUCAUUUCAGUGAGCCUAUUUUAUAUUGUGUGCAUCUUAGGACUAGCAUCUGUCAUAUUGGUACUAUGUAAAGUCCUACAUACAUAAAUAUAACAACAAUUUGGUGUAAUCUGGAACUUCUUUAUCAUUCAAAUACCCAUGAAAAGUGGAGGUGCAACACCAUAAAUUCUGUAGCCACAUAAUAAUGAUGUUUACGUCAGAUGGUAUUUUCAAGAGCACUCAAAUAUUGAUCUAACUCUGCUCCAGUGGUGAAGUCAAUGGGAAUUUCACCAUUGAUUUCAGUAGGAGGAGAGAAAAUCAAUUCCCAGCACUUGUGAAAAUUUCACAGUCGGUCAUUACUGAUUGAGAGAAUAUUCAAAGGACUAAUGAUGGCGGUUCAGUUUAGAGCUUCAUAUCCCAUUGCGCACCCCAUGAGCCACUUGACUCUCUGCUUUGUUUGGAAAUCUAUAUGUUUAGCAUUUAAAGCUUUUUUUGCUUUCCUUGCUUCGCACCUAGCAAAGGCUUCCCCCCCAUGUGCUAAUGGUUUAAUUAUAUUCUUUCCCCUUCAUUUCUUUAGGAGUCAUCACUAAGAUUAAAAUUCUUGUUCAAAGCAGAUCUACGCAAGUAGGUGACUUUAGGGUUCAUUUUCUAAUUGAUCAAACAAACUGCUAAUUAAAUGCAUCUGUGCCUAAUCAAAACAUGGCUACAUAAGCACAGUGUAUCAUUUAGCUGGGUGCAUGAGAUUGUAUUCAUCAAGGGGAAUGAAGACUCAGCUUGAUUAGUAAGUGGUGAAACACAUUCAAAUCCUUUAUUUAGGCCAACUUAUACCAGAAGCCAUGUUUAAUUAUUUAUGUAGAUUUUUUAAUAAAAGAUAUACAAGUUUUACUCCUUAAUAUGAUGUGUUCAGAGUAGCCCAACAAUGCUGCUAAUGAUGCUCUUGCCAUUUUUAGUCUUUGCAACCCUUUGUGAAAGAAUAAAUUUAUCCAUGUUUCAAAGAGUCAUAUCUAUGUAUGUGCAAGCAUAGAAAAAACAGUGAGGGAGAGGCGUUCUCUUAUAUACUGAAAAGUGUUGUGUGGAACUAUUCAGGCCUAUUCUUUUGUGUUGCUGCAACUUACCUGUUUUGGUGCAAAGACAGAUCUCCUGCAUUGCAGAGACUGGAGAAACACGGGCUAUUUAGCUUCCACUUUCAAGCUUGCUUAACUUUACUCCUGCAUAGCUGUCUCUUGGUAUCUUCUAUUCUAUACCACCCUUUCCUUUCACUUCCAAACUGCAUGGGCAGAUGGCUGGUACCUGCCAUUCUCCACUUGACUAUCUUGACUUGUAUUUUUACUAGCACUCUGUUUUUUUAAAUUCUUCUCUUUAAACUCUUUUAAAGAAUUCACUGUGGAAAGGGCUUUGUCUUUUUAUUUAUUUAUAUUAUUUUUAAAAAUGGUGAAAGGAAAUACUUUCCUUUAAAACAAAAUUGAUGAGUGCAUCGAUCUCAGAUCUUCAGUAGCCACCCUCUCUGGCUUCCUUCACUUCAAUUAAAGCACAUGGAAAGGUGUCACGACGUAAUGUCUGCUUUUUUGUAGUGAUGUGUAAAAUGCUAUGCUAUGGGAGCCUUUUUGGUUGAAAUUUAAAAAAAUAACAAUAUUUAAACAAAAAAUACAUAUAGAAGAAAUCCUACAGGGCUUUUCAAAUUGCGAAGAAGUGUUUUAUUGGGGGGGGGAAUGUUUUAUGGGAAGAAUAAGAAAAGCCCACAAACACACUGAUGUAAACUAAAUUGAAUCCCACACCCAUCAAAAUUUUAAAGAAAUUCUUUAAAAAAUAAAUAAAUCCUAACGUGUCCCACAAAUGACAAAGAAAAAUAGAAACCUCUUUUGUGAUGGAAUAAAACUCUCAAGGAAUUAGAGAACAGGUUUUGGUACAUUGGCGGUACAAUUUCAUCCUUUAAUGGACUUGUUUAAAAGCACAGGACACUUGCUAGGAAUUCCCUGACUUCCACUCCAUUUCCACCAAGAUUCCACCCUCCUUUUCUCAGACCUCUGCUUUCUCUUUCCCUCCAAAGUUGCUUCAUUUUAUUCCUCUUUUGCAGCCAACAAUAUGCAGUUUCUCCUGUCCUGAAGAGUGGAAGUUUGUGACCUUUCAUAUAUCGCAGGGUGUGUGUUCCAUGCUUGCUGCCUGUGCUCUGUGGGCAGCUUCAGACUGAUGCACAAUGUUUGAAGCUGCUUUCAGAACACUUGAGUGCAUAAUUCAGGGUGGAUAAUUGCGUGUGUUGCACCAGAAAUAGCAAAGAGUCUGGUAGCACUUUAACAGAUUUAUUGUGCCAUAUACUGUAAUGCAACAAUUAAUCUGUUAGUUGUUAUGAAGCGGCAAGUCUCUUUGUUGUUUUUACCUUCACAUAACUAUGUUAUGAAGCCACUUUCUAGUAUGCAUGGUGCUUGUCCUUGUCCUAAAGAUAAACAAGUCAUUUUCAUUUAUCCACCAUCACUUUGUCUCUCUCAUUGCUCCUCUGCUCCUCUGCUGUUUUGUGUGUGUAUAUAUAUUGCAGAUGUUCUAGUUACUGCUUAUUGAUUCUGGUUUGUUUCCACCUGUUGUUUCGUUUAUUAUAUUAUUUUGACAAUACCAGAAUAAAAGGGGGAAAGACACAAAAACCACAGACAUACAAAAAUCAAAAGUAUAAAUAAAGUCAAUUAUUUAUGCUAUUUACUCUAAAGCAUCUGUACCAUAUAAAAUCUUAAAAUAUUCCAAGGCCACCUUUUGAUUGGAAAAGCAAUAUGCUUUUAUGCAAUGUCCAAAAAAUGGUUCCGAACUUAACAUAAAAGUAUCUUGUUGCUGUCUUUUAUUUUUCUCAUAUAGUAUGUCCACUUUGCCAUUAAAACAAAAUCCCAACUUUUUUUUAAGUAAUUCUUUUGUUUAGUGUUCUUUGUGAUCUCAGUAUGCUUGACACAAUUAACAUAUGAAACCCAUUUCUUAUGUGUUUGUCAUACUAAGCCCUCCAUAUAAUUUGAUAAGGAGAAAGCAUGGAAGAUACUGUUGUGUAGAACAAAAUGCCCCUUUUCACAAUUACCUGAUGCAAUGUCCUAGCCUCCUCAUUAAACAGCAACCUAGCUGUCGUAUUUCAAACAUCCUCUGUGUGCUGAGCAGUAAUUCUCUCCUCAUGGCUCUGUUUUUCCAGAAAUAGUUUCGAAGACGCUUUUACUUUCUGGGUGGUUGAAAGGUAACAGCAGGCCAUUUCCCUCUGUGUACAUGUUGGAUAUGAUGUGCUGUUGUACAGAAUGUGUUACGAUUGUCAGACUUCUGGGUCAGCGCCAUCGGUGAAUGGCGGAGUUUCUCCGAUCGGAGGAACGGGCUCCGUGGAAACUGGGUCUUCCCGCCGCGGCGAAGGUGGGGACCCGCUAGAAAUCCCAGGCGGAGGAAGCCUGGGAACGUGGGGUUCGGCAGGGCACCAGGAGUGCCCCCCUACUCACUGGGAACCCCAUUUUGGGGCACCGGAGCGAAGUGGGGUGAGCGGCGCGGUGCUGCAAACUGAUUGCUAUUUUUACGGAGUGAAGCCGCACAGCCAUUGCCGGAGAGUGCUGACUUUUUCCUGUGGACAAUUGGAUUCAAAACAAGUACCCGUGAGUAGAAAUGGAAAAUUGGAUCAAGAAAUAUCUUAAUUUGGCAUCAAAGCGGGAAGGUUCAAAACAGGAAGUCUGCCUUCCGCUUUCUAUAUAUAGACUAAAGCAAAAACUUUGUAAGCUAAAGCCUGGAAAGCCGUUAAAAAAGUCUAAAUUUCCUUCAUUUACAAUUACUGAAACCCCCUUGGAAGUAGGAGAAAAGUGGGCAGAACUUUGUUUAACCCCUGCAGGAGAGGGAGUGAAGAAGGAUAAGUUUCCACCGUCUCUAACCUGGGAACGGGGUGUCAGAGACAGAAAUAGUUGGAGAGGUUCAUUGACUGUGAAUGGAAUACUUUGACAGAUAGCUAAAGAAGAGAAAUAAACUGAUUCCAAUGUUGCCUUUUGCAUUCUAAAGAAACAAAAUAUCUGAAAAAUAUCUGAAAAAUGAAAGUAAUUUUCCUUUGUUGGACUUGCCUUAAAAAAAUGGAUACAAAUAGAAAUUGUCUCCCCUAGAGGGAGCUUGUUAAAUUGUUGCUGCAGUCUACUUGAGGACUCAACAGCUGUGAGAUUAAGAUCGUGGGACCAGUCUUUUCUGACCUUGACUAAAGAUGAGCUGGGAGGAAGAUUGGGUGCUUGCUUUAUGCAAGACAAGUGCCUUGCUGGAACAGAUGCACGAGAAGAUGGAUUUGAUGAAUGAGAAAAUGGACUUGAUGACUGUUGUGGUUAACAACUGUGGACAAACAGGGAACAUUGAUACAGAAACCAUUCAGGGACCAACUCAUGAACCUGUACUGACUGGGCAAGUGCAGAAGAUAAUGGAGGAGGAUGCAGUUGCACCUCAAAUAAUACAAAGGGAGAAACCCGAGGCCCUACAGGAGCAUAAGCCGCUGUCAUUGAAGAUUGAAGUUGGAGUGGGCCAGGGGGAGUCUGGAGCUGAGGAGGUUCCCAACUUUGGAGAGACCUUGAAAUAUGUUUUUAAAUACUUUUUGGAUUACAUUGAUGACUGUGGGGAGUGGGACUGUGGGGAAUGGGCAGGUUUGAUGAAGGGAGAUGGAGACAAUUUUGGGUUGGAACCCCCCAGAGACCUACUCCUCAAUGAGAAAGGAAAGAAAUUAAGAAAGAGACCAACAAAUGACAAGGAAAAGGGCAAGUAUAAACAAGAAGAAGAAGAUCUGCAGAAGGGACAUGGAAGAGACUUAAGGGCCUCGGACAUAAGACUUCCAGGUUGAUGGACUAGAUGGAAUGGACAGUAAGGACUGACACGACCCGAGACCAGGAAGAAGAGACGUUGGAUGAAGAUUGGAAGAAAAUUUAUAAAGAAAAUUUUUUAUUUGGGGAAUUAGCCUAAAAUUAAUGAAUAUUAGGGAAAAUGUUGGAAUGAAACGAUAUGACUCUAGCAGAAAUGAUAUCAGGAGUUAUGUAUAUUUGAGUAUUAAGAUUCAAGCUUUAAGGUAUUUUAUGGUAAGAUAAGGUUAAAUAAAUCAAGGUAAUUUGAAUAACAGAAUAUGGGGAAAGAUGGAAAGGAUUUGUUGAGCUAAUUAUUAGGUUAAAUUGUUAAGAUAAAUUAUUUAACAAAAAUUGAGAAAGAUGGAAAUAAUUUGCUGAAAUAACUAAUUAAACUAGAAUACAAAAAGGGAGGUGUGAGGAGGUCAAUGAAACAAGCAAAUGGAAGUUAAAGAUAUGUAAUUUGGGAUUUGUGUCUUUUUUUUCUUCCCUUUUUUAAUUUUUUUGUUGUAUUGCUGUAUUGGUUUUUAUGUUUUGCGGGGUUUUUUCUUUUUUAUGUUGUUGUUUUUUGUUUUUUAUUUUUUUUCUAUUAUUCUGAAAGUAUUAAUAAAUAUUAUUAUUAUUAUUAAAAAAGAAUGUGUUACGAUUGUCAAAACACUGCCUUUGAAGUGUGACCCAGGGCCGCGCACUAUCACCAGGUCAUACGCACACACUGGGGGAGGUGCGCACUAUGUCAUGACGUCCCCCAGCAUGUGUUUGCUGCGGCGUCAUGCCUCCAGCAUGCUCAUGUCACUCGCUCACAUAGCGGGGCAUGGUGACAUAGUGUGUGUAUACCAGGGGGGCAUGAUGAUGUAGCACAUGCAUACCCCACGCCAUGCACAUGUAGCUGUACUGCACCUUGUGUGUACCUGGCCCCUCCUUUAAAAUGUUGAGGGAGCUAUGGCACCCAGAGCCCCUUAGCCCCGGCACCUAUGCUAGAAGGGGACCUAAGCACCACAUGGCCACACUGGAAUGGGGAAUCCUCUUUGAGAUUCCUCUUCAGUUUAAUUAGAGAAUAAACCAUUUUACUUUAUUUUUAUGUAACCUACCUGUUUUCUUUCUCAAUUACAAUAUCAACAGAGCUUCUUAAUAUGGACCAUGGAUUUGAAUGUAUUCCUUCUCUCUCUCUCUCUCUCUCCCCUCUCUUGCAGUGAGGUUCCUCACUUUUCAUGGCAAAUUGGCCUCUAAUCCCAUACUGGCUGGGUGGCCCCUCAAAGGUCAGUCACCAUUACCCGGGCAGCCAGGAUGUGUGGGGCCACUCCGACUGCUUACACUGCAGGGUGGGAUUGCCUGCCAAAAGCCUAGUUUUUGAACCAUUCAGUCAGUGGGUCACUAGUAGGUGGAGUCUUGUGGUAGGACCUGGAGUCAGAAGCUUCCACUCUGGUCUGCCGGGCAAUUUCAGUACAGUCGGCAGAAGAGCACCUAUGGUUAAAAGUGGUGCGGUCCUCUUUUUCAUAUGCAGAUUUUACACUUAUUCUGUUCCUUGCGUAGUCCAGCUCUUAAGCACAGCAUUGGCAAUCUCAUUACUAGUGCUGUGUCAAUAAAAUCUGAUUUUUAAAACCACCAUUUAAAGAGAAAAUGAAUUGUAUUUGCAAAUUAUCAGUGGGUCUAGAACAUUUCACUGAAAUUCUGAAGGAAUACCUUUGAAGUGGCUGGGAUUUUUUUGUGUGAUGUUUAAGUGUCUCCUUUUCAUUCUACAAUUCUCCUCUCUGGUGGUCUACACUUUCCUAAGUGUCUCCACUUCUGGAAAAUUCUAGUUGUCUUCUGAUAGACUUUCUUGUAAUGUCAGAAAGCUAAGGAGACUGAGGUUUUUUUAAUGACUUUUCUUCCAAACAAAAUCAGGGAGUGCGCCAGUUUGAAGCACUUGAUAUCCACCCUCCUCACCUUUCUUCAUCAAAGGGGAAGGCAUCCUCUUCCUAUGGGUCUUUUUUAGACCAGGAAUCACAGGUAGCUGGAGAGACUGAAGAAUGAUAAAUACUUUACAGAGAACUGUUUUAAUGAAUGAAAGUGGGGAGGGAAACACACCUCCCUUGGCCACCUUGAAACAAUAAGGUAAGCCCAACACAUGGAAAUUAUACAGUGCCCUGCAAACAAGGCAGGAAAACAGAAACCUCUUUGGGGAAUACAAAAUCAAGGACUGUUUUCUGUACAGUAUUAGUCCUGUCAGGGUUUUGGAUAACUGUCAGUCUUUGAAGUUUAGAACUACUGUUCUCGUUUUGUCAGCAGCAUUGUGUCACUGUCUACCAUUUACUGGGAAGUGGGAAGAGUACUGUUGCGUUCACAUCCUGCCUGCAGACUCCCAUAGGGAUUUGGUUGGCUACUGUGAGAACAGAAUGCUGGACUAGGCAGUCCUUCAAACCAUUCCAUCAAGGCUCUUCUUAAGCACACAUCAGUACAUUUUUACUUUUCUGUGUUGAAUAACUUUAAAGUUGUUGCCAUAGCUACAAUCCAUAUUUUGCUAUGUGUUCUUUCUUCCCAGAAUUGACUCCCUUUGCCUUCAUCCUUCAGACAGCUAAGAUGCAAGGCACACCUUUCAUACCAAACUGGCUGUGGCGGUACAAGAGGCAAAGCUGUAAUCACAUAGACACUUCCAAGAAGACAUGGCUGGUGCUCUGCAAACAUGCCCUUAGAAAAGUACAAAUGGGGAUGCCAAUUCUGAAUGAUUUAAAAUUGUAGAAACAAACACCAUGUGACCCACAGGUUCCCCAGCUAGGUUCCCCAGCUACUGAAGUGUUUUUACAACCUACUUUCCAAUGUUGCUGCUUUCCCUGUAUGCCUCCGCACGGUAGACAUAGCUGAAGGGCAAAUAGGCUAUGUUUUUCAAAAGGCUUAUUUUAUAAUUAAAGACUCAAGUGCUUCGUG